Molecule: transfer RNA, 59 nt
Filed under: Glyptonotus cf. antarcticus FK-2009
Lineage: Eukaryota; Metazoa; Arthropoda; Malacostraca; Isopoda; Chaetiliidae
Description: tRNA-Thr
Source: RNAcentral
GCUUUAAUAGUUUAAAUAAACACUAUCUUUGUAAGGUGGAGAUGAGUCUUCUUAGGGCA